CUCCACAGCUUUCUUUAUAAGGCUGGAAUAAAGCCAUGAGAGGACUUCUGAAAAUAUUCCAAACAGAAUUUCUGGUGGUCAGAGAGAAGCUGUGAUUCUCAGUGCUGGUCUGUCUUUGUUGUUCCUGUGGGAAAUGAAGAGGUCUGAGGAACUGACAGAAAGCUGAACUCAUGGGCACAACACUCCAUUGAAACCACCUGAGACAAGCAGCUGGUUUCCUUUGGAGUGGUUGAAGCACUCAGUGGCUCUGGUUAGGAAGAUUACUGUGAAAACUAGCCAAGUGCUAAAGAAGGACAACAGAGGGGGAAAAUAAAGUGCAAAAAAACCCAGCGUAUUCCAGCAUUUGCUUCAGAAACAAGUUAUAUCCUUCUACUCUCACCAGCUACCAGGCACAGAAAUACUGCAGUCUGGUAAAAGUUACCCA
RNAcentral lists this long non-coding RNA (424 nucleotides) under Coturnix japonica (Japanese quail). RNAcentral's name for it is "lncRNA (ENSCJPG00005003603.1)". Lineage: Eukaryota; Metazoa; Chordata; Aves; Galliformes; Phasianidae. The record is from RNAcentral.